Molecule: ribosomal RNA, 364 nt
Filed under: Dolichospermum flos-aquae AUS-JR/BS/MS/NT-070
Lineage: Bacteria; Bacillati; Cyanobacteriota; Cyanophyceae; Nostocales; Aphanizomenonaceae
Description: bacterial SSU rRNA
Rfam family: Bacterial small subunit ribosomal RNA
Source: RNAcentral
CGUCUGGGCCCACUGGAACGGUGGCUAAUACCGGAUGUGCCGGAAGGUGAAAGGCUUGCUGCCUGAAGAUGAGCUCGCGUCCGAUUAGCUAGUAGGUGGGGUAAGAGCCUACCUAGGCGACGAUCGGUAGCUGGUCUGAGAGGAUGACCAGCCACACUGGGACUGAAACACGGCCCAGACUCCUACGGGAGGCAGCAGUGGGAAAUUUUCCGCAAUGGGCGAAAGCCUGACGGAGCAAUACCGCGUGAGGGAGGAAGGCUCUUGGGUUGUAAACCUCUUUUCUCAGGGAAGAACACAAUGACGGUACCUGAGGAAUCAGCAUCGGCUAACUCCGUGCCAGCAGCCGCGGUAAUACGGAGGAUGC